GACGAACGCUGGCGGCGUGCUUAACACAUGCAAGUCGAGCGGAAAGGCCAUGCUUUUGUGGGGUGCUCGAGAGGCGAACGGGUGAGUGACACGUGAGUAACAUGCACUUGACUGUGGGGUAACUUCAGGGGAAUGGGGCUAAUACCGCGUAGGAGCUCCUGCUGCAUGGGGGGGGUUGGAAAGAUUCGGCGGUUGGGGAUAGACUCGCGGCUUAUCGGCUUGUUGGUGGGGUAGUGGUUUACCAAGGGUUUGAAGGGUAGCCGGCCUGAGAGGGUGAACGGCCACAAUGGGACUGAGAUACGGCCCAGACGGCUACGUGAGGCAGCAGUGGGGAACAUGGCAGAAUGGGGGGAAGCCUGAGGCAGCAAUCUUGCGUGCGGGAUGCCGGCUUUCUGGUGGUAAACAGCUGUCGCCUGUGACGAAGCGUGAUUGACGGUAAUGGGUAAAGAAGCACCGGCUAACUACGUG
RNAcentral lists this ribosomal RNA (468 nucleotides) under uncultured bacterium. RNAcentral describes it as "partial 16S ribosomal RNA". It matches the Rfam family "Bacterial small subunit ribosomal RNA", at positions 28 to 507 of the family's 1533-position model. The record is from RNAcentral.